UUAAAUUGAAGAGUUUGAUCAUGGCUCAGAUUGAACGCUGGCGGCAGGCCUAACACAUGCAAGUCGAACGGUAACAGGAAUCAGCUUGCUGAUUCGCUGACGAGUGGCGGACGGGUGAGU
RNAcentral lists this ribosomal RNA (120 nucleotides) under Escherichia coli. Its description in RNAcentral is "partial 16S ribosomal RNA". It matches the Rfam family "Bacterial small subunit ribosomal RNA", at positions 1 to 111 of the family's 1533-position model. The record is from RNAcentral. Lineage: Bacteria; Pseudomonadati; Pseudomonadota; Gammaproteobacteria; Enterobacterales; Enterobacteriaceae.